RNAcentral lists this ribosomal RNA (253 nucleotides) under uncultured bacterium. RNAcentral describes it as "partial 16S ribosomal RNA". It matches the Rfam family "Bacterial small subunit ribosomal RNA", at positions 524 to 776 of the family's 1533-position model. The record is from RNAcentral.
UACGGAGGGAGCUAGCGUUGUUCGGAAUUACUGGGCGUAAAGGGCAAGCAGGCGGACUGUUAAGUAGGAAGUGAAAGGUCGGAGCUCAGCUCCAACAUUGCUUCCUAUACUGGCAGUCUUGAGUCUCGGAGAGGAAAGCGGAACGAUACGUGUAGCGGUGAAAUGCGUUGAUAUGUAUCGGAACACCAAUGGCGAAGGCAGCUUUCUGGACGAGAACUGACGCUCAUUUGCGAAAGCCGAGGUAGCGAACAGG